RNAcentral lists this ribosomal RNA (274 nucleotides) under uncultured bacterium. Its description in RNAcentral is "partial 16S ribosomal RNA". It matches the Rfam family "Bacterial small subunit ribosomal RNA", at positions 523 to 796 of the family's 1533-position model. The record is from RNAcentral.
AUACGGAGGGUGCAAGCGUUAAUCGGAAUUACUGGGCGUAAAGGGCGCGUAGGUGGUUUGAUAAGUCAGAUGUGAAAUCCCUGGGCUUAACCUGGGAAUUGCAUUUGAUACUGUCAGACUAGAGAGCGGUAGAGGUAAGCGGAAUUCCCGGUGUAGCGGUGAAAUGCGUAGAUAUCGGGAAGAACAUCAGUGGCGAAGGCGGCUUACUGGAUCAACACUAACACUGAGGCGCGAAAGCGUGGGUAGCAAACAGGAUUAGAUACCCCAGUAGUCC